This 46-nucleotide long non-coding RNA is filed under the name Vicia faba (fava bean). The record is from RNAcentral. Lineage: Eukaryota; Viridiplantae; Streptophyta; Magnoliopsida; Fabales; Fabaceae.
AGGAAGACGAAAUAACCGAGAGAAAUUAAAUCUCUCAGAUUCAUAG